This 497-nucleotide ribosomal RNA is filed under the name uncultured bacterium. RNAcentral's name for it is "partial 16S ribosomal RNA". It matches the Rfam family "Bacterial small subunit ribosomal RNA", at positions 28 to 507 of the family's 1533-position model. The record is from RNAcentral.
GACGAACGCUGGCGGCGUGCCUAAUACAUGCAAGUAGAACGCUGAAGGGAGGGGCUUGCUCUUCUGGUAAGUUUCGCGAACGGGAGAGUAACGUGGAGGAAAUCUGCCUGGGAGCGGGGGAUCAAUUUUGGAAACGAUAGCUAAUACCGCAUUAAAUGGAGUAUCAUAUGAUUUUCCAUUAAAAGGUGCUAAUGCAUCAAUACCAGAUGGACCUGCGUUGUAUUAGCUAGUUGGUGGGGUAACGGCUCACCAAGGCGACGAUACAUAGCCGACCUGAGAGGGUGAUCGGCCACACUGGGACUGAGACACGGCCCAGACUCCUACGGGAGGCAGCAGUAGGGAAUCUUCGGCAAUGGACGGAAGUCUGACCGAGCAACGCCGCGUGAGUGAAGAAGGUUUUCGGAUCGUAAAGCUCUGUUGUAAGAGAAGAACGAGUGUGAGAGUGGAAAGUUCACACUGUGACGGUAUCUUACCAGAAAGGGACGGCUAACUACGUG